GUUCUCCGUGCAAGCUCAGCAUCUCACUCCGUAUGACCUUACCCCACCAUGCUGCUCAUAGUUUGGCAUGAUUUUGAUGAAUUCUUUUCUUCUGUAACUAAUACCAGCAGCUCCACUUACAAGAUUGCUAAACCCAGCAGGUCGAGCUGGGACAUCCUCUCCGUGUAGCCCAAUGAUAAUGCGGCCAACAGGUUCUCCAUUAAUUGAUAUUAUCAAGAAAAAUGCACGCUUUGUUGUAGUUUUAUUGCUGCACUUAUGUCUUGUGCUUGUACUGUUUUUUUCUCAUGGAUCAUUUUCUUUGGAAUCUGGCAAGUUUUCUUCAGCUAGCUCUGGACAUACUGAAUGGUUCUAGGGUUUGAGAACUUAGCA
This 369-nucleotide long non-coding RNA is filed under the name Populus trichocarpa (black cottonwood). RNAcentral's name for it is "long non-coding RNA (PTRI_LNC003456)". The record is from RNAcentral. Lineage: Eukaryota; Viridiplantae; Streptophyta; Magnoliopsida; Malpighiales; Salicaceae.